AUCACUUUUCUAUUAACUUCAACCUCCUCCAUCAUCGUAUCUCAUACAGGUUUUGAUCUCUUUUUUUUCCAUUAAAAUCGUAGCUUUAGCAGUCAUUGAGUUAUCAAGCUCGUGUCUCUCGUCUCAUUGAUGUAGUCUGUUUGGAAUCUCAGGUCUCUGUUUCUAGUGUUGUGCUCUGUUCUUGAUUUGGUUUGCGAAUUAGGGGUUUAUUGAGGUGAUGAUGAUAACAUAUAAUCCCAGCUCUAUGAGACCUUUUGUGGUCCAGGACUAGAACUAUGUUCAUUCAUAUAUCUGAGCCUUCUUGCUUGAUUUCAAUUCUUUGUUUGAUUAGUUUUCUUUUUCUUUUUAAGCUUUAGCGUUUUGGAUUUUAGGGUUGAUGUGGCGAUGAUGAUAACAUAUUAUCCCAGCUCAUUAUGAGGCCUUUUGUGGCCAAGGAGAAUAAAUGUUUCUAUAACAUUAUCUGAGCCUUACAACUCUAAUAUUCACAACUGUUAUUUUGGUAUUGUAUAUGUUGCACAUCGUGUUCCCUAUGAUGAUUUUAAAUUAAUGCUAAUGUAUAUCUGAUAAAUUUAUUUGAUGAUAAAUGAUUUGCUGAGGGAACUUAGCUUUUUUAUCAAGUGUUUUUUGUUUUUGGGUAUGAUUGUUUUUUAAUUGAAGGUUAAAGGAUUCCCUGUGAUGGUAUUAACCAUGCUAAUACUGAUUGUCUUGUGACUGAAUCAAUGUUAUGUGUCUGAGGGAAUCUAUUAAGAAUUUUCUACUGUGUUUGUUUUAGGUGUAGUCGUCUCUUUCAUAAUAUAAACAUUGACUAUGUCUUAUAGUUUACUUGGUGAUAGUGAACUUUUUGUAUAUUGAGAACAUUGACAUGGAGGAAACGAAAAGAACUGAACACUUCCAAACACAGAAUCCUUAUACAUAUAUACCUUUUUAAUCCUUUAACUUACAAUUUUUUUUUUUCGUGUCCUUUUCCUUAUACAUGUAUACCUUUUUAAUCUAUGUGCGUUAAGCCGGCACAUGAAGUUACUAUUAUGUGUUCAAUAAUUAUAUGUUUAUCCUGUGUUUCAUAGCUUAAUCAGUGGUUCUCAUCUUCAUUUCACUACAACAAAUUUGGGUUUUGGUAGCAGUUCUUUUUAGCACUAAUUCAGUAACUGCUACUAAAAGUGCCAAAAUAGAUUGUGAGCUCUAUUGUAGCAUUGGAUUAGUGCUGGGGAAAAAUUUCAAUAAGCGGGAACCCAAAAAUCACUACAAUAGCUGAAAAAUCAUUUGGAGGCAAAACACUUAGCCAAAACUUUGUUUUUUCCGCUACUCUCUCUCACUUGGACUAAACACUUAAAAAAACAUUUUGCAAAAAAUAAAUAUCUCAUUUUCUCAGAAAAUCGAUUCCCAUCCUCCAUCGCCUCUCAUCCUCUGUCGCCACCACCAUGGGGACAACAACACACCAACAAACCUUUGUCGCCUUUCGAACACCGAUGACAGAGUGAAAACAAAACCACCGAUGUUGCUUCCGCUUCCCUCCGAUUCAGAUUCUGGAUCUGAGACUGAUUCUGAUGGCUUCUUACAGGGCCUCCACGCCUAAUUCUUUCCUUCUCUCUCACGGUUCUCUCUCUCUCGCUUCUCAAGGAAACAAAGUUAGAGUCUUUUUUUUAUCUCGGUGGUGAUUCUGUGAAAUGGAAGCUUCGUGUGUAUCUUUCUUUUUUUCAUCUUGGUGAUUCGGUUCUAGGGUUAAAUACUUAGCUUUUAAUAAUUCCUCUAGGUGAAUGUUUCUCCUUUGACAUUUUUCUGAAUCUUAUUCAACGGAUUUAAGUCCAACUACUUUUUGCUUUUUAUGCUUUCAUUGUUGUGUGGAUUCUUAUGUUUGAAUUAUUAUUGAUUUUGUUUGUAUGGUAUACAGAGGCUGGAGCUGGAGAAGAAAAGGUAGGCUUGUUUUUGUUGUUUUUCCUCAUAUUAGUACCUUAGCUAGGAUUGGUAUUUGUACAAGGUUCUGCUGGGUUUUAGAUGAAGAGUAUGAAUGUUAAAAGUCUGAAUCUUUCUACUUUUAAUUGGGGCUGAUUUGUGCAGUUUGUUAUGUUUCUUCUUUAGCAAUGUGUCUAUUACAGUUGACAACUCGCUAAGCCCAGCUCACACCCUCAUUCAAGGGAGUGACAGAACAGACAGAACCUUCUCAAGGGACUUACUACUACUGAUGAAAAUACUGCUCCGCCAUGAAGUUGCUACUUUGGGGACUGUAAGUCCUUAAGUAUUGUGGUGAAACUGAGUUUUUCGAUAAACUGGAGAUGGUGAGGAUUAAUGGCUGCAAGAAAGGUGACUCUUCCAAUAUGAUAGGAAGCCAAGUAGUCACCCUCCGUGUAUCAAGAUCUUGGUUUCGGACUAUAUACCAAGUGUUCCCAUCUGUUUGAGCUUGUUGAAGAAUAAUAAAUCCUCAAUUGCUGAUUUUGAUCCAAGAUUGUUAUGUCUGCUAAUUCGCAUAUUACCAAUUCAGUGACUCUUGGUUCCAAAUUCGUUUUGGUGGUCAUAGUCUUCUUUAGUCAUGGUUUGGUUCUAAGCGACUAUUGAUCGAUAAGGGGUCAUGUUUUAGCUGCCAUGAACUCCAACGAGUUUGUUCUUCUCUCUAUUUCUCCGCCUGUAAGAUGGCUGCAAGAUAGGAAGCCAAAAACACAUCUGCUUUGAAGUCCCAGAUUGAAUAGCUACAACUGGAGAGGGAUGGAUUUCAAAGGAUGGUGAUUGGAAACCAGUUACUAUAAGGUGAUCUGCUGAUGGUAUGAGUGGAGAUCUACUAGGACUGCUUCGGUUUCUUUAUUACUUGGUUUGGUGAAGAAAUAUACUUGCCUUCUUUUUAAUUAUGACUUGGUGAUUCAAGCAUUUGUAUCUUUUGGGUAUUUGAUAGAAUGAUUUUAUGUAAAAUGUAUGUUUUAUAAAUUUAAUGUAAUAUUAAUUUUAUUUAUGAA
This is a non-coding RNA of Camelina sativa (false flax), 2942 nucleotides long. Lineage: Eukaryota; Viridiplantae; Streptophyta; Magnoliopsida; Brassicales; Brassicaceae. The record is from RefSeq and is a predicted model, not a curated record.